GGGCGUGUGGCUCAGUUGGUAGAGCGUUCGCUUAGCAUAUUCUGGUAGAGCUUGUCUUCCAGCAGAUAUGCGAAAGGUCCUGGGUUCGAUUCCCAGCUCGUCCA
This is a non-coding RNA of Schizothecium vesticola, 104 nucleotides long. The record is from the annotation of a GenBank genome assembly. Lineage: Eukaryota; Fungi; Ascomycota; Sordariomycetes; Sordariales; Schizotheciaceae.